Long non-coding RNA from Dendroctonus ponderosae (mountain pine beetle), 1030 nucleotides. RefSeq lists it as uncharacterized. Lineage: Eukaryota; Metazoa; Arthropoda; Insecta; Coleoptera; Curculionidae. The transcript has 2 exons. The record is from RefSeq and is a predicted model, not a curated record.
UUUUCGAAUAUUCGAAUACUCGAAUUAUUCGAGUUUGAUUCCGAGUCCUAGUUUAUACCUGCAAAUGGUUUGCAUUUACUAUCUUUCAAUAACGUCUAUUCACUCUCUUUUUCCUUUUAGAUAAAUCACACAAAAUUAUGAAAGCUACCGCUGCAAUUUUAGCAUCAUCCAUGAUGAACAGUACAUUUAUUUCGCCGUGCAAGCUGGAACCUUGGCAAAUGCAAACAUUUUUAUUUAUUGUUGCAGCAAUUUAUGUAGACGCGAGGCGCCAAUUGUGUGUGAACGUUCGCGAAUGUUUGGCGCGGUAUUGCGCUGCGGUCUGGACGCACCUUUAUAGGCUGGAAAAAAUACGUCAAUUUUUGUCAUGUCAUUGUUAAAUUAGUGUUUUGUUUAAUAGCGCAUGGGCGACAAUGCAAGCGCUUCGUUCCGUGAGUAUUUCGAAGAAUCGAGGAAAUUUUUUAUUUUUUUGCGGAAGACGGCAGAUUUACUGAAAAAUUAAUUUAAUUUCCACCGUUUUAAGGUAUUUUUCUCACCGAUAGUGUGAUUGAAGCUAAAAAAUCGGAAUUUUUCACACACAGAAAUGUUUGACGUUUGCUGUCAGAGAUUAUCUCGACAAGCGCCGAGUUUGCAUCAAUUUUGGGGCGCAUUUUGAGUUUUGAGGACUGUUUGACGUGUUUGUGAGGUUGUUGAGGACUUUGGGACUAUGCAGUUCGACUAUGGGACACAGAAAUAUGCAGCUAAUGGUAGCAACUAUGACAAGUCAUUGAUGGUAUUAGUCAUCUUCCUGGUAGUAUUGAACGUCGAACCGUUGAAAAAUCACUCGUAAAUAUAAAAUAGACACGUUAAAAAAAGCAAUUGAAAAAUCCCUCAAAUAAUAAUAAUCUAGCACGUUAUUUAAAACUGAUGCCAUUCUGUUGUGAGAUUUACUUCAAGAGUUUUUUAAAUUUAUUUAUUUAAUUGCCAAAAGAGUCCUCAAAGAAGUUCAAUUGUAUUUAUAUUUAUGGUAACAAAAUAAAACACUUUCAGCAAA